CCUACGGGGGGCAGCAGUGGGGAAUAUUGGGCAAUGGGCGCAAGCCUGACCCAGCAACGCCGCGUGAAGGAAGAAGGCUUUCGGGUUGUAAACUUCUGUUCUGAGGGACGAAGAAAGUGACGGUACCUCAGGAAUAAGCCACGGCUAACUACGUGCCAGCAGCCGCGGUAAUACGUAGGUGGCAAGCGUUAUCCGGAUUGAUUGGGUGUAAAGGGCGUGUAGGCGGGAAAGCAAGUCAGAUGUGAAAUCUCAGGGCUCAACCCUGAGCCUGCAUUUGAAACUGUUUAUCUUGAGUGCUGGAGAGGAUAUCGGAAUUCCGUGUGUAGCGGUGAAAUGCGUAGAUAUACGGAGGAACACCAGUGGCGAAGGCGGAUUGCUGGACAGUAACUGACGCUGAGGCGCGAAAGCGUGGGGAGCAAACAGGAUUAGAUACCCGGGUAGUC
This 443-nucleotide ribosomal RNA is filed under the name uncultured bacterium. Its description in RNAcentral is "partial 16S ribosomal RNA". It matches the Rfam family "Bacterial small subunit ribosomal RNA", at positions 338 to 795 of the family's 1533-position model. The record is from RNAcentral.